Molecule: ribosomal RNA, 301 nt
Filed under: uncultured bacterium
Lineage: Bacteria
Description: partial 16S ribosomal RNA
Rfam family: Bacterial small subunit ribosomal RNA
Source: RNAcentral
CAGUAGCCGCGGUAAUACGGAGGGUGCAAGCGUUAAUCGGAAUUACUGGGCGUAAAGCGCACGCAGGCGGUUUGUUAAGUCAGAUGUGAAAUCCCCGAGCUUAACUUGGGAACUGCAUUUGAAACUGGCAAGCUAGAGUCUUGUAGAGGGGGGUAGAAUUCCAGGUGUAGCGGUGAAAUGCGUAGAGAUCUGGAGGAAUACCGGUGGCGAAGGCGGCCCCCUGGACAAAGACUGACGCUCAGGUGCGAAAGCGUGGGGAGCAAACAGGAUUAGAUACCCCUGUAGUCCCUGUCUCUUUACA